This 473-nucleotide ribosomal RNA is filed under the name uncultured bacterium. RNAcentral's name for it is "bacterial SSU rRNA". It matches the Rfam family "Bacterial small subunit ribosomal RNA", at positions 366 to 829 of the family's 1533-position model. The record is from RNAcentral.
UCGCAAUGCCCGAAAGGGUGACGAAGCGACGCCGCGUGGGUGAGGAAGGCCUUCGGGUUGUAAAGCCCUGUCAGGAGUUAAGAAAUGUAGACUCGCUAAUAUCGGGUCUAUUUGACAAAGGCUCCAAAGGAAGCCACGGCUAACUCUGUGCCAGCAGCCGCGGUAAUACAGAGGUGGCAAGCGUUGUUCGGAAUUAUUGGGCGUAAAGAGCACGUAGGUGGAUUUGUAAGUCAGACGUGAAAGCCUUCUGUUCAACGGAAGAAUUGCAUCUGAAACUACAAACCUUGAGUGUAGGAGGGGAGAAUGGAACUUCUGGUGGAGCGGUGAAAUGCGUAGAUAUCAGAAGGAACGCCGGCGGCGAAAGCGAUUCUCUGGCCUAUUACUGACACUCAGUGUGCGAAAGCUAGGGGAGCAAACGGGAUUAGAUACCCCGGUAGUCCUAGCCGUAAACGAUGGGCACUAAGUAGAGGGGU